GGGGAAUCUUGCACAAUGGGGGCAACCCUGAUGCAGCGACGCCGCGUGAGCGAUGAAGCCCUUCGGGGCGUAAAGCUCUUUCGACCGGAACGAUAAUGACGGUACCGGGAGAAGAAGCUGCGGCUAACUACGUGCCAGCAGCCGCGGUAAUACGUAGGCAGCAAGCGUUGUUCGGAGUUACUGGGCGUAAAGAGUGCGUAGGCGGUUUUCUAAGUUCGGUGUGAAACCUCCCGGCUUAACUGGGAGGGUGCGCCGAAGACUGGGAAGCUGGAGUGUGGGAAAGGCAGGCGGAAUUCCUGGUGUAGCGGUGAAAUGCGUAGAUGUCAGGAGGAACACCGGCGGUGUAGACGGCUUGCUAGACCAUAACUGACGCUGAGGCACGAAAGCGUGGGUAGCAAACA
RNAcentral lists this ribosomal RNA (401 nucleotides) under uncultured bacterium. Its description in RNAcentral is "bacterial SSU rRNA". It matches the Rfam family "Bacterial small subunit ribosomal RNA", at positions 356 to 774 of the family's 1533-position model. The record is from RNAcentral.